CUCCUUUGACGUUAGCGGCGGACGGGUGAGUAACACGUGGGUAACCUACCUAUAAGACUGGGAUAACUUCGGGAAACCGGAGCUAAUACCGGAUAAUAUUUCGAACCGCAUGGUUCGAUAGUGAAAGAUGGUUUUGCUAUCACUUAUAGAUGGACCCGCGCCGUAUUAGCUAGUUGGUAAGGUAACGGCUUACCAAGGCGACGAUACGUAGCCGACCUGAGAGGGUGAUCGGCCACACUGGAACUUAGACACGGUCCAGACUCCUACGGGAGGCAGCAGGC
This 281-nucleotide ribosomal RNA is filed under the name uncultured Staphylococcus sp. RNAcentral's name for it is "partial 16S ribosomal RNA". It matches the Rfam family "Bacterial small subunit ribosomal RNA", at positions 81 to 354 of the family's 1533-position model. Lineage: Bacteria; Bacillati; Bacillota; Bacilli; Caryophanales; Staphylococcaceae. The record is from RNAcentral.